AAAAACAAAAGGGAAAUGCUUCAAACUUUCGAACAUAUUCGACCAUAAAUAGGAUAUAAAUGUGUAAAUAUGGAUGAUUACAUGAUAUGGAAACAUCUUAUGUGACCCCUUUAUAAGAUUGUCACAUUGUGGAACUUGUCGAGCUGAAUCAGCUAAGAAUCAUGCACUAUCAACAAACAUUAGAUUUGUGUCUAUUUUGAGUUUAGACAUUACGAUAUAGUAGUAUCUUUUUGAGUAAAUGGUCAAAGUUGAUGCCUUUGUGAUUAAUGAUCAUAAGUUUUUGGUGUGGUUUUGAA
Molecule: long non-coding RNA, 296 nt
Organism: Gossypium arboreum
Lineage: Eukaryota; Viridiplantae; Streptophyta; Magnoliopsida; Malvales; Malvaceae
Exons: 3
Source: RefSeq, a predicted model, not a curated record